Molecule: ribosomal RNA, 254 nt
Filed under: uncultured bacterium
Lineage: Bacteria
Description: partial 16S ribosomal RNA
Rfam family: Bacterial small subunit ribosomal RNA
Source: RNAcentral
UACGUAGGUGGCUAGCGUUGUCCGGAUUUACUGGGCGUAAAGAGCUCGUAGGCGGUGUGUCACGUCGGCCGUGAAAACCUGCAGCUUAACUGUGGGCGUGCGGUCGAUACGGGCAUCACUGGAGUUCGGCAGGGGAGACUGGAAUUCCUGGUGUAGCGGUGAAAUGCGCAGAUAUCAGGAGGAACACCGGUGGCGAAGGCGGGUCUCUGGGCCGAUACUGACGCUGAGGAGCGAAAGCGUGGGGAGCAAACAGG